RNAcentral lists this ribosomal RNA (460 nucleotides) under uncultured bacterium. Its description in RNAcentral is "partial 16S ribosomal RNA". It matches the Rfam family "Bacterial small subunit ribosomal RNA", at positions 338 to 795 of the family's 1533-position model. The record is from RNAcentral.
CCUACGGGAGGCAGCAGUGAGGAAUAUUGGUCAAUGGGCGCGAGCCUGAACCAGCCAAGUCGCGUGAGGGAGGACGGCCCUACGGGUUGUAAACCUCUUUUGCCGGGGAGCAACGGGCGCCACGUGUGGCGUCACUGAGAGUACCCGGAGAAAAAGCAUCGGCCAACUCCGUGCCAGCAGCCGCGGUAAUACGGAGGAUGCGAGGGUUUUCGGGAUUUAUUGGGUUUAAGGGUUCCGUAGGCGGAUCGUAAAGUCAGUGGUCAAAUUGGGGGGCUCAACCCCUUCCCGCCGUUGAAACUGGCGUACCUGAGUGUGAGAGAGGUAGGCGGAAUGCGUGGUGUAGCGGUGAAAUGCAUAGAUAUCACGCAGAACCCCGAUUGCGAAGGCAGCAUGCCGGCUUCCGACUGACGCUGAAGCACGAAAGCGUGGGGAUCGAACAGGAUUAGAUACCCGGGUAGUC